This 85-nucleotide transfer RNA is filed under the name Hyphomicrobiales bacterium. RNAcentral's name for it is "tRNA-Tyr". It matches the Rfam family "tRNA". Rfam says of the family: Transfer RNA (tRNA) molecules are approximately 80 nucleotides in length. RNAcentral also lists the same sequence under 1 other name. Lineage: Bacteria; Pseudomonadati; Pseudomonadota; Alphaproteobacteria; Hyphomicrobiales. The record is from RNAcentral.
GGAGGGGUGCCCGAGUGGUUAAAGGGGACGGACUGUAAAUCCGUUGGCUCAGCCUACGCUGGUUCGAAUCCAGCCCCCUCCACCA